This 497-nucleotide ribosomal RNA is filed under the name uncultured bacterium. Its description in RNAcentral is "partial 16S ribosomal RNA". It matches the Rfam family "Bacterial small subunit ribosomal RNA", at positions 28 to 507 of the family's 1533-position model. The record is from RNAcentral.
GAUGAACGCUGGCGGCGUGCCUAAUACAUGCAAGUCGAGCGAACGGACGAGAAGCUUGCUUCUCUGAUGUUAGCGGCGGACGGGUGAGUAACACGUGGAUAACCUACCUAUAAGACUGGGAUAACUUCGGGAAACCGGAGCUAAUACCGGAUGAUAUUUUGAACCGCAUGGUUCAAAAGUGAAAGACGGUCUUGCUGUCACUUAUAGAUGGAUCCGCGCUGCAUUAGCUAGUUGGUAAGGUAACGGCUUACCAAGGCAACGAUGCAUAGCCGACCUGAGAGGGUGAUCGGCCACACUGGAACUGAGACACGGUCCAGACUCCUACGGGAGGCAGCAGUAGGGAAUCUUCCGCCAUGGGCGAAAGCCUGACGGAGCAACGCCGCGUGAGUGAUGAAGGUCUUCGGAUCGUAAAACUCUGUUAUUAGGGAAGAACAUAUGUGUAAGUAACUGUGCACAUCUUGACGGUACCUAAUCAGAAAGCCACGGCUAACUACGUG